Molecule: microRNA precursor, 75 nt
Filed under: Haemonchus placei
Lineage: Eukaryota; Metazoa; Nematoda; Chromadorea; Rhabditida; Trichostrongylidae
Description: mir-5928 microRNA precursor family
Rfam family: mir-5928 microRNA precursor family
Source: Rfam by way of RNAcentral
GGUCCAAAUAUGAAGGGAAUUAGAUUAGAAGGAUCAUCUGACCCUACUAAACUACUCUACUUCGAGUUUGUGCCC